GUAAAAAUUUUAUAAGAAUAUGAUGUUGGUUCAGAUUAAGCGCUAAAUAAGGACAUGACACAUGCGAAUCAUACGUUUAUUAUUGAUAAGAUAAUAAAUAUGUGGUGUAAACGUGAGUAAUUUUAUUAGGAAUUAAUGAACUAUAGAAUAAGCUAAAUACUUAAUAUAUUAUUAUAUAAAAAUAAUUUAUAUAAUAAAAAGGAUAUAUAUAUAAUAUAUAUUUAUCUAUAGUCAAGCCAAUAAUGGUUUAGGUAGUAGGUUUAUUAAGAGUUAAACCUAGCCAACGAUCCAUAAUCGAUAAUGAAAGUUAGAACGAUCACGUUGACUCUGAAAUAUAGUCAAUAUCUAUAAGAUACAGCAGUGAGGAAUAUUGGACAAUGAUCGAAAGAUUGAUCCAGUUACUUAUUAGGAUGAUAUAUAAAAAUAUUUUUAUUUUAUUUAUAAAUAUUAAAUAUUUAUAAUAAUAAUAAUAUAUAUAUAUAUAAAUUGAUUAAAAAUAAAAUCCAUAAAUAAUUAAAAUAAUGAUAUUAAUUACCAUAUAUAUUUUUAUAUGGAUAUAUAUAUUAAUAAUAAAAUUAAUUUAUUAUUAUUAAUAAUAUAUUUUAAUAGUCCUGACUAAUAUUUGUGCCAGCAGUCGCGGUAACACAAAGAGGGCGAGCGUUAAUCAUAAUGGUUUAAAGGAUCCGUAGAAUGAAUUAUAUAUUAUAAUUUAGAGUUAAUAAAAUAUAAUUAAAGAAUUAUAAUAGUAAAGAUGAAAUAAUAAUAAUAAUUAUAAGACUAAUAUAUGUGAAAAUAUUAAUUAAAUAUUAACUGACAUUGAGGGAUUAAAACUAGAGUAGCGAAACGGAUUCGAUACCCGUGUAGUUCUAGUAGUAAACUAUGAAUACAAUUAUUUAUAAUAUAUAUUAUAUAUAAAUAAUAAAUGAAAAUGAAAGUAUUCCACCUGAAGAGUACGUUAGCAAUAAUGAAACUCAAAACAAUAGACGGUUACAGACUUAAGCAGUGGAGCAUGUUAUUUAAUUCGAUAAUCCACGACUAACCUUACCAUAUUUUGAAUAUUAUAAUAAUUAUUAUAAUUAUUAUAUUACAGGCGUUACAUUGUUGUCUUUAGUUCGUGCUGCAAAGUUUUAGAUUAAGUUCAUAAACGAACAAAACUCCAUAUAUAUAAUUUUAAUUAUAUAUAAUUUUAUAUUAUUUAUUAAUAUAAAGAAAGGAAUUAAGACAAAUCAUAAUGAUCCUUAUAAUAUGGGUAAUAGACGUGCUAUAAUAAAAUGAUAAUAAAAUUAUAUAAAAUAUAUUUAAUUAUAUUUAAUUAAUAAUAUAAAACAUUUUAAUUUUUAAUAUAUUUUUUUAUUAUAUAUUAAUAUGAAUUAUAAUCUGAAAUUCGAUUAUAUGAAAAAAGAAUUGCUAGUAAUACGUAAAUUAGUAUGUUACGGUGAAUAUUCUAACUGUUUCGCACUAAUCACUCAUCACGCGUUGAAACAUAUUAUUAUCUUAUUAUUUAUAUAAUAUUUUUUAAUAAAUAUUAAUAAUUAUUAAUUUAUAUUUAUUUAUAUCAGAAAUAAUAUGAAUUAAUGCGAAGUUGAAAUACAGUUACCGUAGGGGAACCUGCGGUGGGCUUAUAAAUAUCUUAAAUAUUCUUACA
Molecule: non-coding RNA, 1645 nt
Filed under: Saccharomyces cerevisiae YJM1332
Lineage: Eukaryota; Fungi; Ascomycota; Saccharomycetes; Saccharomycetales; Saccharomycetaceae
Also listed under: 2 other names
Description: 15S ribosomal RNA
Rfam family: Bacterial small subunit ribosomal RNA
Source: RNAcentral